GUUGCUUCAUAUGGUGAACUCUCUCUUGGUAAAUGAGAAGUGUUCUAGUUUCCGAAGCAUAAAUUAAAAACAAAAUGCCAGUUUUAAACAGCACGAUGAAUGGAUUAAUCAAUUAGUCUCCUUUACUUUCAUCGCGUUACCUGUCAGCUGGUACAUUU
Molecule: non-coding RNA, 158 nt
Organism: Spinacia oleracea (spinach)
Lineage: Eukaryota; Viridiplantae; Streptophyta; Magnoliopsida; Caryophyllales; Amaranthaceae
Source: Rfam